CCUACGGGUGGCAGCAGUAGGGAAUGUUCGUCAAUGGGCGCAAGCCUGAACGAGCAAUGCCGCGUGAAUGAGGAAGGUCUUCGGAUCGUAAAGUUCUGUUGAAGGGGAAAAAGAGCGGAGAGAGGAAAUGGUCUCCGAUUGAUAUUACCCUUCGAGGAAGUCACGGCUAACUACGUGCCAGCAGCCGCGGUAAUACGUAGGUGGCGAGCGUUAUCCGGAAUGAUUGGGCGUAAAGGGUGCGUAGGCGGCCUGCUAAGUCUGGUGUGAAAGGUACCGGCUCAACCGGUAUAGGCUCUGGAAACUGGCGGGCUAGAGAGCAGGAGAGGGCGGUGGAACUCCAUGUGUAGCGGUAAAAUGCGUAGAUAUAUGGAAGAACACCAGUGGCGAAGGCGGCCGCCUGGCCUGUUACUGACGCUGAGGCACGAAAGCGUGGGGAGCAAAUAGGAUUAGAUACCCCGGUAGUC
RNAcentral lists this ribosomal RNA (464 nucleotides) under uncultured bacterium. RNAcentral's name for it is "partial 16S ribosomal RNA". It matches the Rfam family "Bacterial small subunit ribosomal RNA", at positions 338 to 795 of the family's 1533-position model. The record is from RNAcentral.